GACGAACGCUGGCGGCGUGCUUAACACAUGCAAGUCGAACGGAAAGGCCCUGCUUUUGUGGGGUGCUCGAGUGGCGAACGGGUGAGUAACACGUGAGUAACCUGCCCUUGACUUUGGGAUAACUUCAGGAAACUGGGGCUAAUACCGGAUAGGAGCUCCUGCUGCAUGGUGGGGGUUGGAAAGUUUCGGCGGUUGGGGAUGGACUCGCGGCUUAUCAGCUUGUUGGUGGGGUAGUGGCUUACCAAGGCUUUGACGGGUAGCCGGCCUGAGAGGGUGACCGGCCACAUUGGGACUGAGAUACGGCCCAGACUCCUACGGGAGGCAGCAGUGGGGAAUAUUGCACAAUGGGCGGAAGCCUGAUGCAGCAACGCCGCGUGCGGGAUGACGGCCUUCGGGUUGUAAACCGCUUUCGCCUGUGACGAAGCGUGAGUGACGGUAAUGGGUAAAGAAGCACCGGCUAACUACGUGCCAGCAGCCGCGGUGAUACGUAGGGUGCGAGCGUUGUCCGGAUUUAUUGGGCGUAAAGGGCUCGUAGGUGGUUGAUCGCGUCGGAAGUGUAAUCUUGGGGCUUAACCCUGAGCGUGCUUUCGAUACGGGUUGACUUGAGGAAGGUAGGGGAGAAUGGAAUUCCUGGUGGAGCGGUGGAAUGCGCAGAUAUCAGGAGGAACACCAGUGGCGAAGGGCGGUUCUCUGGGCCUUUCCUGACGCUGAGGAGCGAAAGCGUGGGGAGCGAACAGGCUUAGAUACCCUGGUAGUCCACGCUGUAAACGGUGGGUACUAGGUGUGGGGUCCAUUCCACGGGUUCCGUGCCGUAGCUAACGCUUUAAGUACCCCGCCUGGGGAGUACGGCCGCAAGGCUAAAACUCAAAGGAAUUGACGGGGCCCCGCACAAGCGGCGGAGCAUGCGGAUUAAUUCGAUGCAACGCGUAGAACCUUACCUGGGUUUGACAUGGAUCGGGAGCGCUCAGAGAUGGGUGUGCCUCUUUUGGGGUCGGUUCACAGGUGGUGCAUGGCUGUCGUCAGCUCGUGUCGUGAGAUGUUGGGUUAAGUCCCGCAACGAGCGCAACCCUUGUUCACUGUUGCCAGCACGUUAUGGUGGGGACUCAGUGGAGACCGCCGGGGUCAACUCGGAGGAAGGUGGGGAUGACGUCAAGUCAUCAUGCCCCUUAUGUCCAGGGCUUCACGCAUGCUACAAUGGCUGGUACAGAGAGUGGCGAGCCUGUGAGGGUGAGCGAAUCUCGGAAAGCCGGUCUCAGUUCGGAUUGGGGUCUGCAACUCGACCUCAUGAAGUCGGAGUCGCUAGUAAUCGCAGAUCAGCAACGCUGCGGUGAAUACGUUCCCGGG
Molecule: ribosomal RNA, 1344 nt
Filed under: uncultured bacterium
Lineage: Bacteria
Description: 16S ribosomal RNA
Rfam family: Bacterial small subunit ribosomal RNA
Source: RNAcentral